Molecule: ribosomal RNA, 253 nt
Filed under: uncultured bacterium
Lineage: Bacteria
Description: partial 16S ribosomal RNA
Rfam family: Bacterial small subunit ribosomal RNA
Source: RNAcentral
UACGUAGGGGGCAAGCGUUGUCCGGAAUCAUUGGGCGUAAAGAGCGUGUAGGCGGCCCGGUAAGUCCGCCGUGAAAGUCCAGGGCUCAACCCUGGGAUGCCGGUGGAAACUGUCGGGCUCGAGUCCGGAAGAGGCGAGUGGAAUUCCUGGUGUAGCGGUGAAAUGCGCAGAUAUCAGGAGGAACACCGGUGGCGAAGGCGCCACUCUGGGCCGGUACUGACGCUGAGGAGCGAAAGCGUGGGUAGCAAACAGG